Molecule: long non-coding RNA, 373 nt
Organism: Oxyura jamaicensis (ruddy duck)
Lineage: Eukaryota; Metazoa; Chordata; Aves; Anseriformes; Anatidae
Exons: 3
Source: RefSeq, a predicted model, not a curated record
CUCUGCAUGGUGCUGUGCUGAACUCUGUGGCUGUACUCUGAAAGUCAGCUUGGAGCUUUUUUCACCAUAAUCCACUGCACAAUGCAGCUAUCACCUUGUCCCAGCAUUCAGGUGUUUUUCUCAUUGGAAUAUUCUUUGUUAUUCAGAAAUGCCAUUUGGAAAUGAGUUUCUCUGAUCUUUCUUCUUACUGGGACAUGAUGGAACAAUGAAAAGUGAACUUCAAGAUUUUUGGGAUAUGAGCAUAAGAGUUUGAAGUUGUUUUGUACAAAGGCUUUUGAAGGAACCAGUGUGUGAUUUUUUUUAAUUAGUAAAUAUUAUUAUUUAUUCUAACUUUGAUCAAGAACAGUAUUUCCAAAUGGGGCAAAUUGAUUAU